UACGGAGGGUGCAAGCGUUAUCCGGAUUCACUGGGUUUAAAGGGUGCGUAGGUGGGUUGGUAAGUCAGUGGUGAAAUCCCCGAGCUUAACUUGGGAACUGCCAUUGAUACUAUCAGUCUUGAAUACUGUGGAGGUCAGCGGAAUAUGUCAUGUAGCGGUGAAAUGCGUAGAUAUCUGGAGGAAUACCGGUGGCGAAGGCGGCAUCCUGGACCGGCAUUGACGCUGAGGAGCGAAAGCCAGGGGAGCAAACGGG
This 253-nucleotide ribosomal RNA is filed under the name uncultured bacterium. RNAcentral describes it as "partial 16S ribosomal RNA". It matches the Rfam family "Bacterial small subunit ribosomal RNA", at positions 524 to 776 of the family's 1533-position model. The record is from RNAcentral.